Molecule: ribosomal RNA, 257 nt
Filed under: uncultured Stenotrophomonas sp.
Lineage: Bacteria; Pseudomonadati; Pseudomonadota; Gammaproteobacteria; Lysobacterales; Lysobacteraceae
Description: partial 16S ribosomal RNA
Rfam family: Bacterial small subunit ribosomal RNA
Source: RNAcentral
UGGCGGACGGGUGAGGAAUACAUCGGAAUCUACUCUGUCGUGGGGGAUAACGUAGGGAAACUUACGCUAAUACCGCAUACGACCUACGGGUGAAAGCAGGGGAUCUUCGGACCUUGCGCGAUUGAAUGAGCCGAUGUCGGAUUAGCUAGUUGGCGGGGUAAAGGCCCACCAAGGCGACGAUCCGUAGCUGGUCUGAGAGGAUGAUCAGCCACACUGGAACUGAGACACGGUCCAGACUCCUACGGGAGGCAGCAGCG